CUAUUUUGGCAGAGAAGUGUGAUGAAUUUAGAAUUCAUUAAUGUAAUAUUAUUAUUAUAAAUAGUAU
This 67-nucleotide transfer RNA is filed under the name Pseudolebinthus lunipterus. RNAcentral's name for it is "Pseudolebinthus sp. 1 RN-2019 tRNA-Leu". Lineage: Eukaryota; Metazoa; Arthropoda; Insecta; Orthoptera; Gryllidae. The record is from RNAcentral.